This 680-nucleotide ribosomal RNA is filed under the name Caecomyces sp. RNAcentral's name for it is "partial large subunit ribosomal RNA". It matches the Rfam family "Eukaryotic large subunit ribosomal RNA", at positions 85 to 616 of the family's 3401-position model. Lineage: Eukaryota; Fungi; Neocallimastigomycota; Neocallimastigomycetes; Neocallimastigales; Neocallimastigaceae. The record is from RNAcentral.
AACGGCGAGUGAAGCGGGAAGAGCUCAAAUUUGAAAUCUUCAAGGUUCUACCUUGACGAAUUGUAGUUUAAAGAAGUGUUUUCUGUUGGAGUUUUGGUAAAAGUUCUUUGGAAUAGGACAUCAUAGAGGGUGAGAAUCCCGUAUUUGACCAUUAUUUCCAGCUUUGUGAUACACUUUCAAAGAGUCGGAUUGUUUGGGAAUGCAGUCCAAAAUGGGUGGUAAAUUUCAUCUAAAGCUAAAUAUUGGCGAGAGACCGAUAGCGAACAAGUACCGUGAGGGAAAGAUGAAAAGAACUUUGAAAAGAGAGUUAAACAGUACGUGAAAUUGUCAAAAGGGAAGCGUUUGACACCAGUGUUGUUUUCUCGAAAAUCAAUUAAAAAAGACUGGAUUUUGUGUUGUAUUGACUUUAUCAGCUUUCUGCACUCUUUUCUUGUCUUUUUUAAUGCACUUUUCGUUUAACAAGUCAACAUCAAUUUCUUUUGUUGUAAAAGGGUCAUUGGAAGGUGGCUUUCUUUUCGGAGAAAGUGUUUAUAGCCUUUGGCCUCUGCAAUCGGAGAGAUUGAGGUCUGCAGCGUAGAUCCUUCGGGGUUAGAUACAUUUGUGCUAAGUUAUAGCCUUUCAUAGACAACUUGUUGACUAUGAUCAGUCAUGUAGCUUACUCGCUUAUGCUAUUUACCUAC